Nannospalax galili (Upper Galilee mountains blind mole rat) is the source of this 106-nucleotide small nuclear RNA. NCBI's taxonomy places the organism in Eukaryota, Metazoa, Chordata, Mammalia, Rodentia, Spalacidae. The record is from Ensembl.
GUGCUCACUUGGCAGCACAUAUACUAAAGUUGAAGUGGUACAGAGAAGAUCAGCAUGGCACCCACACAAGGAUGACAGGCAAAUCUGUGAUUCAUCCUAUGUUUUU